Molecule: ribosomal RNA, 254 nt
Filed under: uncultured bacterium
Lineage: Bacteria
Description: partial 16S ribosomal RNA
Rfam family: Bacterial small subunit ribosomal RNA
Source: RNAcentral
CACGUAGGGUGCGAGCGUUGUCCGGAAUUAUUGGGCGUAAGGAGCUCGUAGGCGGUGUGUCGCGUCGGCCGUGAAAACCUGCAGCUUAACUGUGGGCUUGCGGUCGAUACGGGCAUCACUGGAGUUCGGCAGGGGAGACUGGAAUUCCUGGUGUAGCGGUGAAAUGCGCAGAUAUCAGGAGGAACACCGGUGGCGAAGGCGGGUCUCUGGGCCGAAACUGACGCUGAGGAGCGAAAGCGUGGGGAGCAAACAGG